GGGGAAUAUUGGGCAAUGGGCGAAAGCCUGACCCAGCAACGCCGCGUGAAGGAAGAAGGCCCUCGGGUUGUAAACUUCUUUUGUCAGGGACGAAGCAAGUGACGGUACCUGACGAAUAAGCCACGGCUAACUACGUGCCAGCAGCCGCGGUAAUACGUAGGUGGCAAGCGUUAUCCGGAUUUACUGGGUGUAAAGGGCGUGUAGGCGGGAGUGCAAGUCAGAUGUAAAAGGCUAUGGCUUAACUAUAGUUAGCAUUUGAAACUGUAUUACUUGAGUGCAGGAGAGGUAAGCGGAAUUCCUAGUGUAGCGGUGAAAUGCGUAGAUAUUAGGAGGAACACCAGUGGCGAAGGCGGCUUACUGGACUGUAACUGACGCUGAGUCACGAAAGCGUGGGUAGCAAACA
RNAcentral lists this ribosomal RNA (403 nucleotides) under uncultured Eubacteriales bacterium. RNAcentral's name for it is "bacterial SSU rRNA". It matches the Rfam family "Bacterial small subunit ribosomal RNA", at positions 356 to 774 of the family's 1533-position model. The record is from RNAcentral. Lineage: Bacteria; Bacillati; Bacillota; Clostridia; Eubacteriales.